This 468-nucleotide ribosomal RNA is filed under the name uncultured bacterium. RNAcentral's name for it is "partial 16S ribosomal RNA". It matches the Rfam family "Bacterial small subunit ribosomal RNA", at positions 28 to 507 of the family's 1533-position model. The record is from RNAcentral.
GACGAACGCUGGCGGCGUGCUUAACACAUGCGAGUCGAACGGAAAGGCCCUGCUUUUGUGGGGUGCUCGAGUGGCGAACGGGUGAGUAACACGUGAGUAACCUGCCCUUGACUUUGGGAUAACUUCAGGAAACUGGGGCUAAUACCGGAUAGGAGCUCCUGCUGCAUGGUGGGGGUUGGAAAGUUUCGGCGGUUGGGGCUGGACUCGCGGCUUAUCAGCUUGUUGGUGGGGUAGUGGCUUACCAAGGCCUUGACGGGUAGCCGGCCUGAGAGGGUGACCGGCCACAUUGGGACUGAGAGACGGCCCAGACUCCUACGGGAGGCAGCAGUGGGGAAUAUUGCACAAUGGGCGGAAGCCUGAUGCAGCAACGCCGCGUGCGGGAUGACGGCCUGCGGGUUGUAAACCGCUUUCGCCUGUGACGAAGCGUGAGUGACGGUAAUGGGUAAAGAAGCACCGGCUAACUACGUG